CACAAGCGGUGGAUGAUGUGGUUUAAUUCGUAUGCAACGCGAAAAACCUUACCCACCUUUGACAUGGCAGGAAUCCUAAAGAGAUUGGAGUGCUCGAAAGAGAACCUGCACACAGGUGCUGCAUGGCUGUCGUCAGCUCGUGUCGUGAGAUGUUGGGUUAAGUCCCGCAACGAGCGCAACCCUUGCCAUUAGUUGCUACGAAAGGGCACUCUAAUGGGACUGCCGGUGACAAACCGGAGGAAGGUGGGGAUGACGUCAAGUCCUCAUGGCCCUUAUAGGUGGGGCUACACACGUCAUACAAUGGCCGGUACAGAGGGUAGCCAACCCGCGAGGGGGAGCCAAUCCCACAAAGCCGGUCGUAGUCCGGAUCGCAGUCUGCAACUCGACUGCGUGAGGUCGGAAUCGCUAGUAAUCGCGGAUCAGCAUGUCGCGGUGAAUACGUUCCCGGGUCUU
RNAcentral lists this ribosomal RNA (453 nucleotides) under uncultured Allobrachymonas sp. Its description in RNAcentral is "bacterial SSU rRNA". It matches the Rfam family "Bacterial small subunit ribosomal RNA", at positions 924 to 1382 of the family's 1533-position model. The record is from RNAcentral. Lineage: Bacteria; Pseudomonadati; Pseudomonadota; Betaproteobacteria; Burkholderiales; Comamonadaceae.